AAGGGGGUGAGCUUACGCUCAAUGAGGUACCAAAAUAAUAGCAGUCAAAUCUUGGCAUUUCACGUUUAACCAAUCAGGUAUACAUGCCAGAUAUAAAGUAAAGAAGUAAGACAAUGAUUCAAAUAAGAAGCAUACAGGUGGCUCUCAGGAGCCAGAUUUCCAUGGCAGAACUUGAUCCAAACCCGUUGACUCUCUGUCAACGUAUAUAGAACCAACAUGUUCGUAGACCCCACU
Molecule: long non-coding RNA, 234 nt
Filed under: Coffea arabica (coffee)
Lineage: Eukaryota; Viridiplantae; Streptophyta; Magnoliopsida; Gentianales; Rubiaceae
Description: long non-coding RNA (CARA_LNC000555)
Source: RNAcentral